RNAcentral lists this small nuclear RNA (166 nucleotides) under Erinaceus europaeus (western European hedgehog). RNAcentral describes it as "U1 spliceosomal RNA (ENSEEUG00000019676.1)". It matches the Rfam family "U1 spliceosomal RNA". From Rfam's summary of the family: U1 is a small nuclear RNA (snRNA) component of the spliceosome (involved in pre-mRNA splicing). Its 5' end forms complementary base pairs with the 5' splice junction, thus defining the 5' donor site of an intron. There are significant differences in sequence and secondary structure between metazoan and yeast U1 snRNAs, the latter being much longer (568 nucleotides as compared to 164 nucleotides in human). Lineage: Eukaryota; Metazoa; Chordata; Mammalia; Eulipotyphla; Erinaceidae. The record is from RNAcentral.
AUACUUACCUGGCAGGGGAGAUACCAUGAUCACGAAGGUGGUUUUCCCAGGGCGAGGCUUAUCCAUUGCACUCCGGAUGUGCUGACCCCUGCGAUUUCCCCAAAUGUGGGAAACUCGACUGCAUAAUUUGUGGUAGUGGGGGAAAAAAAAAAAAGUAUUGCUCUUU